UGGGGAAAGCUCACAUCUUUUCCUGCACAGUUUGUCAAAGGUCAGCUUUGACAAUUACCAGGCAAUUCUUUUAUUUGUGAACAUCUGCGACGUCCACUGGAAACUUCUGUACAUAAAUGCUGUCAACCACACAGUGUACUUGAUGGAUCCUUCACAAAAUAACAAAGAGAAAGAUGAUUCCAUUCAUGCUGCCAAAAAAAUCAGUGAGUACCUACAGAUGAGGCAAACAUGCCAUGGAAAAAUGGAGUGGCUGGACAUCAAAUGGAAAGGAGGAGUUCUGAAACAUCCAGUCCAGCAGGAUGCCAGUAGCUGUGGGGUCAUUGUCACCUUGUAUUAUUUGUUUAGAUGGCAAGGGCAAUAGUGAGGGCAUUUCCAGCUGUUCCAGAUUUCCAUUUUGGAACAUCCAAAAAGGAAAUGGCACAAGAGCGAAAAAUGAUGGCUCUGCAGAUACUGAAAGAAUCAGUGUUUGAUGAGACCAAUCACUGUUCCAUGUGCGCACAGAAAGAGCCAAUUGGAAGCAGGCAACAUGUGACAAAGUGGAUCCAGUGUGACCGCUGCAAGAGGUGGUACCACGAGAAGUGCCUGGGCAUGACUAAGAAAAAGCUGAGAUGGGCCAGAGUCAAUGAUUGGGACUGCGUUUUCUGCUGUUAAAUCUGUCGAGAUAACAGAAUUAAUACUUUUAUGUUAUUUAUCGUUUUAUUUACAUUAUGCU
Molecule: long non-coding RNA, 712 nt
Organism: Perca fluviatilis (European perch)
Lineage: Eukaryota; Metazoa; Chordata; Actinopteri; Perciformes; Percidae
Exons: 7
Source: RefSeq, a predicted model, not a curated record